AGAACAGAGGCUGAGGGAACCCGGGAAUGUGAGGUCUCAGAGGCAGCAACCCCACGCAUGUGGCAGCCCCAAGCAGUGAGCGGACUGGGUGCAGGAGGAGGCCCCAACAACGCCCAGAAUUCAUGUGGCUUCCUGCAUGAGUUAGCUGCUGCCGUGUAACAAGUGACCCCACAUGCAGUGGCUGGAACAUGCACGUUUACCACGUCUGCUUCCAGGGCUCAGAAACUCAGAGCUGUGGACGUAGCAGGAAGCACAAUUGCGAAGUGGACAGGGUGGUGGUUUCUCAGAGCUCAACUGCAGGGCAUGUGUGUGCAUAGGUGUGUGCCCAGGUGUGUGUCCAGGUGUGUGUGCAGGUGUGUGCUCAGGUGUGUGUCCAGGCGUGUGCAGGUGUGUGUGCAUAGUUGGGUGCCCAGGCGUGUGUGCAGGCGUGUGUGCAGGUGUGUGUGCAUAAGUGGGUGCCCAGGUGUGUGUGCAAAGGUGUGUACCCCGGUGUGUGCUCAGGUGUGAGUGCAGGUGUGUGGUGUGCACAGGUGUGUGCAUGGGGGUGUGGGUGGGGUGUGCUCAGGUGUGUGUGCAGGUGUGUGCACAGGUGAGUGCAGAUGUGUGCUCAGGUGUGCGCAGGUGUGUUUUCAGGUGUGUGUGCAGGUGUGUGCUCAGGUGUGUGGCGUGUGCACAGGUGUGUGCGCAGGUGUGUGCACAGGUGUGUGCGCUGUGUGUGCAGGAGUGUGCGCAGGUGUGUGCGCAGGUGUGUGCAGGUGUGUGCUCAGGUGUGUGGCGUGUGCACAGGUGUGUGUGCAGGUGUGUGCACAGGUGUGUGCGCUGUGUGUGCAGGAGUGUGCGCAGGUGUGUGUGGCGUGUGCACAGGUGUGUGCGCAGGAGUGUGCACAGGUGUGUGCUCAGGUGUGUGUGGCAUGUGCGCAGGUGUGUGCAGGAGUGUGUGCAGGUGUGUGCUCAGGUGUGUGUGCAGGUGUGUGCCCAGGUGUGUGCUCGUGUAUGUAAAGUGUGCGCAGGAGUGUGUGCAGGUGUGUGCUCAGGUGUGUGCUCAAGUGUUUGCAGAUACGUGCUGAGGUGUGUGCGCAGGUGUGUGCUCAGGUGUGUGCAGAUGUGUGCUCAGGUGUAUGUGCAGGUGUGUGUGGUGUGCACAGGUGUGUGCAUGGGGGUGUGGGUGGGGUGUGCUCAGGUGUGCGCAGGUGUGUUUUCAGGUGUGUGUGCAGGUGUGUGCUCAGGUUUGUGCACGGGUGUGUGGCGUGUGCACAGGUGUGUGUGCAGGUGUGUGCGCUGUGUGUGCAGGAGUGUGCACAGGUGUGUGUGGCGUGUGCACAGGUGUGUGCGCAGGUGUGUGUGCAGGUGUGUGCUCAAGUGCGUGCUGCAUGAGCUUCCGUACUUGCUCCUGGGCUUCUCACCGGCCAGGGCUGGUGUCCAGGGCGAGCCAUCCCAGGCAGAGCACACAGGACGCAGCGUUUACAGCCCCAUCUGGAGAGCACCACCUUCACUUCUGCCUUUGUCCACAAGGGAGGGGCUUGCAUGGGGGAAGAGUAAGCGCUGCCUGCCCGGGGCCCUGGAUGUAGAGCGGCCUGCAGCCAGGACUCCCGUCCGGUGUGUUUGGUGUUGCUGUUUUCCUGGAAGCCUCUGCGUCCC
Molecule: long non-coding RNA, 1638 nt
Filed under: Pan troglodytes (chimpanzee)
Lineage: Eukaryota; Metazoa; Chordata; Mammalia; Primates; Hominidae
Description: long non-coding RNA NONPTRT000942
Source: RNAcentral